CUCCACUUUACAGGGUUUUGUCACUUUUGGUUCAUGUCAGAUAUAAAUAAUUUAGCGGCAUCGUUAACAUAAUCAUUCUGAUAUGCGGAUCACAAAAGGCCAUCCCUACAUAGAAUACAACGUCCGUUUACAAAUUAGUUUGUACACACGUUAAUACUUUUGUAUCAAACGAACUUUUUUGUACAUGAACCCUGCUCUUUAAGUUUAAAGGUACAGAGUAACGUACUUCAUAUCAUGAUUUCAGAAAGCGUUCAACAUCGAUUUCAAACAAAUGCUUUGAAACUUCAAAUGCAAGUGUUCAUGUCAAACGCUCAGGUGAUACCAAACGGACUGGACCUUAUACGUAAAGAUAAAAACCCGAGGAUUCGGUAAAAAAGUUUUGAGCGGGAAAUACAAAUAUAAGAUUUUUGGUAGGAACGAAAAAAUAAAAUAAAAUAAAAUCUUGCUGGUAAAUACAAUUAAAAGAUUUUCAGGCGGAACGAAUUUAUAGGGUCGGUCGGUAAAGGGCAAACAAACAAUAUUUUAAUUUAAGCCCUAUCUAU
This 542-nucleotide long non-coding RNA is filed under the name Mytilus galloprovincialis (Mediterranean mussel). The record is from RNAcentral. Lineage: Eukaryota; Metazoa; Mollusca; Bivalvia; Mytilida; Mytilidae.